Molecule: unclassified non-coding RNA, 338 nt
Filed under: soil metagenome
Description: partial contains 5.8S ribosomal RNA, internal transcribed spacer 2, and large subunit ribosomal RNA
Rfam family: 5.8S ribosomal RNA (bases 1-120)
Source: RNAcentral
GAUGAAGAACGCAGCGAAAUGCGAUAAGUAAUGUGAAUUGCAGAAUUCAGUGAAUCAUCGAAUCUUUGAACGCACAUUGCGCCCGCCAGUAUUCUGGCGGGCAUGCCUGUUCGAGCGUCAUUUCAACCAUCAAGCCCCAGCGCUUGUGUUGGGGGCCUGCGGCUGCCGCAGCCCCCUAAAAGCAGUGGCGGGCUCGCUAUCACACCGAGUGCAGUAGUUCAUCUUCUCUCGGGUCUUGUGAGGCGGGUUCCGGCCGUGAAACACCCCACUACAUUCAAGGUUGACCUCGGAUCAGGUAGGAAUACCCGCUGAACUUAAGCAUAUCAAUAAGCGGAGGA